UGGGGAAUAUUGCACAAUGGGCGAAAGCCUGAUGCAGCAACGCCGCGUGAGUGAUGAAGGUCUUCGGAUUGUAAAGCUCUGUCUUUUGGGACGAUAAUGACGGUACCAAAGGAGGAAGCCACGGCUAACUACGUGCCAGCAGCCGCGGUAAUACGUAGGUGGCGAGCGUUGUCCGGAUUUACUGGGCGUAAAGGGUGCGUAGGCGGAUGUUUAAGUGAGAUGUGAAAUACCCGGGCUUAACUUGGGUGCUGCAUUUCAAACUGGAUAUCUAGAGUGCAGGAGAGGAGAAUGGAAUUCCUAGUGUAGCGGUGAAAUGCGUAGAGAUUAGGAAGAACACCAGUGGCGAAGGCGAUUCUCUGGACUGUAACCGACGCUGAGGCACGAAAGCGUGGGUAGCAAACAGGAUUAGAUACCCUGGUAGUCCACGCCGUAAACGAUGAGUACUAGGUGUAGGAGGUAUCGACCCCUUCUGUGCCGCAGUAAACACAUUAAGUACUCCGCCUGGGAAGUACGAUCGCAAGAUUAAAAC
RNAcentral lists this ribosomal RNA (529 nucleotides) under uncultured bacterium. Its description in RNAcentral is "partial 16S ribosomal RNA". It matches the Rfam family "Bacterial small subunit ribosomal RNA", at positions 355 to 900 of the family's 1533-position model. The record is from RNAcentral.